UUGAACGCUGGCGGCAGGCCUAACACCUGCAAGUCGAACGGUAACAGGAAACAGCUUGCUGUUUCGCUGACGAGUGGCGGACGGGUGAGUAAUGUCUGGGAAACUGCCUGAUGGAGGGGGAUAACUACUGGAAACGGUAGCUAAUACCGCAUAACGUCGCAAGACCAAAGAGGGGGACCUUCGGGCCUCUUGCCAUCGGAUGUGCCCAGAUGGGAUUAGCUAGUAGGUGGGGUAACGGCUCACCUAGGCGACGAUCCCUAGCUGGUCUGAGAGGAUGACCAGCCACACUGGAACUGAGACACGGUCCAGACUCCUACGGGAGGCAGCAGUGGGGAAUAUUGCACAAUGGGCGCAAGCCUGAUGCAGCCAUGCCGCGUGUAUGAAGAAGGCCUUCGGGUUGUAAAGUACUUUCAGCGGGGAGGAAGGGAGUAAAGUUAAUACCUUUGCUCAUUGACGUUACCCGCAGAAGAAGCACCGGCUAACUCCGUG
This 489-nucleotide ribosomal RNA is filed under the name uncultured bacterium. RNAcentral describes it as "partial 16S ribosomal RNA". It matches the Rfam family "Bacterial small subunit ribosomal RNA", at positions 30 to 507 of the family's 1533-position model. The record is from RNAcentral.